GGGUUUGUCCCGACCCUAGUUAUGUCAUGUAUAUCCUAGAGGCUUUGUAGACAUAAGGAAGGGUAAAGUCAUGGAAGUUUAUAUAGUAACGUUAUAUUUGUAUAUGUGGUGGCCCCGACGGCCAAGUAUUAUAUAUAUAUAUUUGUGCGUGUUGUGCUGAUACAGGUAAUUAGACCUUUCUAUAUGCAACGACGUGCUGUCCAAUUUUAUUUUUGGUGACAUGUAAGUGAAAGUACAGGUAUUUGAACGGGUUCUCCCGGGCCUUCUCGGCUU
RNAcentral lists this long non-coding RNA (273 nucleotides) under Capsicum annuum. Its description in RNAcentral is "long non-coding RNA (CANN_LNC019526)". The record is from RNAcentral. Lineage: Eukaryota; Viridiplantae; Streptophyta; Magnoliopsida; Solanales; Solanaceae.